GCCUGGGUGGCUCAGUAGGUUAAGCAUCUGACUUCAGCUCAGGUCACGAUCUCACAGUUUGUGGGUUUGAGCCCCGCAUCAGGCU
This 85-nucleotide transfer RNA is filed under the name Felis catus (domestic cat). It matches the Rfam family "tRNA". Rfam says of the family: Transfer RNA (tRNA) molecules are approximately 80 nucleotides in length. Their secondary structure includes four short double-helical elements and three loops (D, anti-codon, and T loops). The record is from Rfam by way of RNAcentral. RNAcentral also lists the same sequence under 1 other name. Lineage: Eukaryota; Metazoa; Chordata; Mammalia; Carnivora; Felidae.